Pristis pectinata (smalltooth sawfish) is the source of this 274-nucleotide long non-coding RNA. RefSeq lists it as uncharacterized. The transcript has 3 exons. Lineage: Eukaryota; Metazoa; Chordata; Chondrichthyes; Rhinopristiformes; Pristidae. The record is from RefSeq and is a predicted model, not a curated record.
CAACCUUCCACGCGAGCCCGCAUCACCGCGCCAACGACCUGAGCAUUUUUUUCCAAGCAAUAUUAACUUCCGGGUUCUAAAAUUCCCGCAUCUGCAGUUUUGGUUUGCUUUUCGAUGAACUUGAAUACAUUGGAUUAGGCCAGGCCAACUGGACCUUCAGUUGCGCUCUGUGUUCAAUAAAAAAAUCUACCAACGUUCUUGUUACGGGAGCAGAAGUGUGAAAGAAAAAAGCAGGGAUCCAAAGAAUGGCUCCAUCCAGCUUUUUAAGAUUUAG